AGUGAACGCUGGCGGCGUGCCUAAUACAUGCAAGUCGAACGGAAUUUAAAAGAGCUUGCUCUUUUGAAUUUAGUGGCGCACGGGUGAGUAAUAUAUAGCUAAUCUGCCCCCUGCUGGAGGACAACAGUUAGAAAUGACUGCUAAUACUCCAUACUCCUUUUUACCAUAAGAUAAAUCGGGAAAGAAUUUCGGCAAGGGAUGAGACUAUAUCGUAUCAGCUAGUCGGUAGGGUAACGGCCUACCGAGGCUAUGACGCGUAACUGGUCUGAGAGGAUGAUCAGUCACAUUGGAACUGAGACACGGUCCAAACUCCUACGGGAGGCAGCAGUAGGGAAUAUUGCGCAAUGGGGGAAACCCUGACGCAGCAACGCCGCGUGGAGGAUGACACUUUUCGGAGCGUAAACUCCUUUUGUUAGGGAAGAAUAAUGACGGUACCUAACGAAUAAGCACCGGCUAA
RNAcentral lists this ribosomal RNA (457 nucleotides) under Campylobacter gracilis. RNAcentral's name for it is "bacterial SSU rRNA". It matches the Rfam family "Bacterial small subunit ribosomal RNA", at positions 29 to 500 of the family's 1533-position model. Lineage: Bacteria; Pseudomonadati; Campylobacterota; Epsilonproteobacteria; Campylobacterales; Campylobacteraceae. The record is from RNAcentral.